UACGAAGGGGGCUAGCGUUGCUCGGAAUCACUGGGCGUAAAGGGUGCGUAGGCGGGUCUUUAAGUCAGGGGUGAAAUCCUGGAGCUCAACUCCAGAACUGCCUUCGAUACUGGCGAUCUUGAGUCCGGAAGAGGUGAGUGGAACUCCUAGUGUAGAGGUGGAAUUCGUAGAUAUUAGGAAGAACACCAGUGGCGAAGGCGGCUCACUGGUCCGGUACUGACGCUGAGGUGGCGAAA
RNAcentral lists this ribosomal RNA (236 nucleotides) under uncultured bacterium. RNAcentral describes it as "partial 16S ribosomal RNA". It matches the Rfam family "Bacterial small subunit ribosomal RNA", at positions 524 to 758 of the family's 1533-position model. The record is from RNAcentral.